AGGAUAGAGGCCUACCGUGGUGGUAACGGGUAACGGGGUGUUAGGGCACGACACCGGAGAGGGAGCCUGAGAAACGGCUACCACAUCCAAGGAUGGCAGCAGGCGCGCAAAUUACCCAAUCCCGACACGGGGAGGUAGUGACAAUAAAUAACAAUACGGGGUUCUUUAGGAUCUCGUAAUUGGAAUGAGUACAAUUUAAAUCUCUUAACGAGGAACAAUUGGAGGGCAAGUCUGGUGCCAGCAGCCGCGGUAAUUCCAGCUCCAAUAGCGUAUAUUAAAGUUGUUGCAGUUAAAAAGCUCGUAGUUGAAUUUCGGGGUUAGUAGGUUGGUCAUGCCUCUGGUAUGUACUGGUCUCACUGAUUCCUCCUUCCUUAUGAACCGUAAUGCCAUUAAUUUGGUGUUGCGGGGAAUUUGGACUGUUACUUUGAAAAAAUUAGAGUGUUUAAAGCAAGCUAACGCUUGAAUACAUUAGCAUGGAAUAAUGAAAUAGGACGUUCGAUCUUAUUUUGUUGGUUUCUAGGAUUGACGUAAUGAUUAAUAGGGAUAGUUGGGGGCAUUAGUAUUCAAUUGUCAGAGGUGAAAUUCUUGGAUUUAUUGAAGACUAACUACUGCGAAAGCAUUUGCCAAGGAUGUUUUCAUUAAUCAAGAACGAAAGUUAGGGGAUCGAAGACGAUCAGAUACCGUCGUAGUCUUAACCAUAAACUAUGCCGACUAGGGAUCGGAUGA
Molecule: ribosomal RNA, 726 nt
Filed under: uncultured fungus
Lineage: Eukaryota; Fungi
Description: SSU rRNA
Rfam family: Eukaryotic small subunit ribosomal RNA
Source: RNAcentral